AGAGUUUGAUCCUGGCUCAGAUUGAACGCUGGCGGCAUGCUUUACACAUGCAAGUCGAACGGCAGCAUGACCUAGCUUGCUAGGUUGAUGGCGAGUGGCGAACGGGUGAGUAAUACAUCGGAACGUACCCAAUAGUGGGGGAUAACGCAGCGAAAGCUGUGCUAAUACCGCAUACGUCCUACGGGAGAAAGCGGGGGAUCUUCGGACCUCGCGCUAAUGGAGCGGCCGAUGUCAGAUUAGCUAGUUGGUGGGGUAAAGGCCCACCAAGGCGACGAUCUGUAGCUGGUCUGAGAGGAUGAUCAGCCACACUGGGACUGAGACACGGCCCAGACUCCUACGGGAGGCAGCAGAGGGGAAUUUUGGACAAUGGGCGCAAGCCUGAUCCAGCCAUGCCGCGUGAGUGAAGAAGGCCUUCGGGUUGUAAAGCUCUUUCGCAAGGGAAGAAAACUUAGCCACUAA
Molecule: ribosomal RNA, 459 nt
Filed under: uncultured bacterium
Lineage: Bacteria
Description: bacterial SSU rRNA
Rfam family: Bacterial small subunit ribosomal RNA
Source: RNAcentral